RNAcentral lists this small nucleolar RNA (205 nucleotides) under Calypte anna (Anna's hummingbird). RNAcentral's name for it is "Small nucleolar RNA SNORA74". It matches the Rfam family "Small nucleolar RNA SNORA74". From Rfam's summary of the family: U19 belongs to the H/ACA class of snoRNAs. snoRNAs bind a number of proteins (including dyskerin, Gar1p and Nop10p in the case of the H/ACA class) to form snoRNP complexes. This class are thought to guide the sites of modification of uridines to pseudouridines by forming direct base pairing interactions with substrate RNAs. Lineage: Eukaryota; Metazoa; Chordata; Aves; Apodiformes; Trochilidae. The record is from Rfam by way of RNAcentral.
UCCAGUGGUAUAGUCAGCUGUCCAGAGCAGUACUGUGCCUGUGAUAGUGUUACACUGCUGGGAGAUAAAGAUCAGUCAUUUCUUCUGGCUGCUGUUGUCACCGUUCUGGAGACAGCAGGUGCCAAAAAGAAGUGACAUUGUGCUUCUCUGAGAGUGCACUAAAGAUUUGCUUUGCCUCUUUAGUGCUAGUCUGGAAGCAUACAAA